GGGCCUGUGGUUUAGUGGUAUAACAUUCGCUUAGCACUUAGUGUGUGCGAAAGGUCCGGCGUUCUAUUCGCCGCUUGUCCA
Molecule: non-coding RNA, 81 nt
Organism: Sphaerobolus stellatus SS14
Lineage: Eukaryota; Fungi; Basidiomycota; Agaricomycetes; Geastrales; Sphaerobolaceae
Source: the annotation of a GenBank genome assembly